UCUAUAUGGAAGUUUAGUGAAGACACCAAAUCCAUGUAUACGAGACUUCCCUGUGGCCAAAUUAUUUCAAAGGUGGAUGAUUAAACAGAGUACUUCCCACUAAUUUAUUGCAAGAUAUGGAACUCAUGCCCACAAAAGAGAAACCUUAACAACAAUUAGGAAUCAACUGAUUUUCAAUAUGCAACUCUUAGUAGAUCGGUUCAAUCUAUAUGAAAAUACAAAUCUAGCAAUAGAGAAUAAAAUGAUACAGAUUAGAAGAGGCCUAAAUAGAAUCUUCUCAUCUAUAUAUCCAUAUAUAUAUAAGCUGACUACAACACAAUUUGGUCAUUUUCCUGCCAAAACACACCAACCUUUUAACCAAUGUGUAAUUCAGUUCAUAUUAAGUGACUGCAUAAUAUAACUAAUUUUCAAUAGAAUGUUGUAAUACUUAAUUAUAUUGGUAAACAGAAUUUGGGCAGUAAUUUUAGCUUAGAUUUGUUAAACUUGGAGCCAAAUAUUAAAAUUCAGAAUCAAGUUUAAGAGCCAAAACUUUUCCUAUAAUUACAAGGGCCUUCUGUUCGUUUUAGUAAAACAUUUCCAAAAAAAUCGUGUGGUUUUUAUCUUUCAACAUUUCUGUUCUUUCAUUUUCAAAAAUCCUUUCUAUUUGAAGUUACGAUUUUGAGAAAACAAGAUUUUUUAUUCAUUAUCAACAUCUUCAUUUCAAAAUUAUUUUGUGGGACUUCUUAUUUUCUAGGAAUAUAAUUGUUUAAAUGAAAUAACAGCAUCUGAUAGCUUUAUUAGCAUUGUUUCCCUAUUCGAAGAAUAAAAUAGUACUACUAAACCACUAUUGUCCAGUUAAAAUACAUGCAAAAAACCGCAGUUCAGAGUUUAUAAUGAUAAUGAUAAAAAGUAAUUGAAGAAUCCAUACCUCUUUGGUGUUGUUCGAUUUUUAUGUAUCAAACUUCUUUGCUAGCUUCACUAGAAAGAUGGUCCUUAACCUGCAAAAUAAUCCAUAAUGUUAGUAUCCAUUCAAACUGACCCAAUUAAAAUUGAACGAUGAAAAUAUUCUGGAAUAGAAUAACUACCUGAAACUUCUUUAUGAAGUCAUGCCCUAGCUUCAUUAUCUCGCCUAAGAGUUUUCAGCAAUACCAUCUUUAUUGAACCAUAGGCAAUCCAGGAUUCUUGGAAGAUUCUUCUUAAAAUAGCCUCCUUCGAAUCCGCCACCCAGAAAUUACUGUUAGGCUAAAGUUUUGUGUAGAAA
RNAcentral lists this long non-coding RNA (1240 nucleotides) under Salvia miltiorrhiza (redroot sage). RNAcentral's name for it is "long non-coding RNA (SMIL_LNC006441)". Lineage: Eukaryota; Viridiplantae; Streptophyta; Magnoliopsida; Lamiales; Lamiaceae. The record is from RNAcentral.